Molecule: ribosomal RNA, 558 nt
Filed under: uncultured bacterium
Lineage: Bacteria
Description: bacterial SSU rRNA
Rfam family: Bacterial small subunit ribosomal RNA
Source: RNAcentral
AUAUUGCACAAUGGGCGCAAGCCUGNUGCAGCGACGCCGCGUGGGGGAUGACGGCCUUCGGGUUGUAAACCUCUUUCACCAUCGACGAAGGCCUGCUUUGGGUGGGUUGACGGUAGGUGGAGAAGAAGCACCGGCCAACUACGUGCCAGCAGCCGCGGUAAUACGUAGGGUGCGAGCGUUGUCCGGAAUUACNUGGGCGUAAAGAGCUCGUAGGUGGUUUGUCGCGUUGUUCGUGAAAUUCCCUGGCUUAACUGGGGGCGUGCGGGCGAUACGGGCAGACUGGAGUACUGCAGGGGAGACUGGAAUUCCUGGUGUAGCGGUGGAAUGCGCAGAUAUCAGGAGGAACACCGGUGGCGAAGGCGGGUCUCUGGGCAGUAACUGACGCUGAGGAGCGAAAGCGUGGGGAGCGAACAGGAUUAGAUACCCUGGUAGUCCACGCCGUAAACGGUGGGUACUAGGUGUGGGUUUCCUUCCUUGGGAUCCGUGCCGUAGCUAACGCAUUAAGUACCCCGCCUGGGGAGUACGGCCGCAAGGCUAAAACUCAAAAAAAUUGACGGA